This 519-nucleotide ribosomal RNA is filed under the name Phengodidae sp. UPOL 001353. Its description in RNAcentral is "partial 16S ribosomal RNA". The stretch from base 383 to 519 matches the Rfam family "Archaeal large subunit ribosomal RNA", at positions 2542 to 2679 of the family's 2987-position model. The record is from RNAcentral. Lineage: Eukaryota; Metazoa; Arthropoda; Insecta; Coleoptera; Phengodidae.
CAUCUCUUUUUGAAAAUGAUUUAAAGUUUAAUCUGCUCAAUGAUAAUUAAAUAGCUGCGGUAAUUUAACUGUACAAAGGUAGCAUAAUAAUUUGUUUUUUUAUUGAAAACUUGAAUGAAUGAUUGGACGAGAAAUUGACUGUCUUUUUUUAAAUUUUUUAAUUUAACUUUAAAGUAAAAAGGCUUUAAUAUUUAUAAGGGACAAGAAGACCCUAUAGAGUUUUAUUAAUAAUUAUUUUAAUGGGUUUAUAUGAUUAAGUUUUAUUUUGUUUUUAUUAAUUUAGUUGGGGUUACUAGAAGAUAAAAUCAAUUCUUUUUUUUUUUAUCAUUUAUUUAUGAUUAGUAUUAUAUUUUUUAAAAAAUUUAAAUUUAAUUACCUUAGGGAUAACAGCGUAAUUUUCAAUUGAAGUUCUAAUUUAAUUGAGAGUUUGCGACCUCGAUGUUGGAUUAAAAUUUAAUUUUGACGGAAAAGUCAAUAUUUUAAGUCUGUUCGACUUUUAAAAUUUUACAUGAUCUGAGU